Molecule: microRNA, 22 nt
Filed under: Panagrellus redivivus
Lineage: Eukaryota; Metazoa; Nematoda; Chromadorea; Rhabditida; Panagrolaimidae
Description: prd-miR-7886-3p
Source: miRBase by way of RNAcentral
UUAGUCAUCAGGAUGCGUCGUU